RNAcentral lists this ribosomal RNA (253 nucleotides) under uncultured bacterium. RNAcentral's name for it is "partial 16S ribosomal RNA". It matches the Rfam family "Bacterial small subunit ribosomal RNA", at positions 524 to 776 of the family's 1533-position model. The record is from RNAcentral.
UACGUAGGGGGCGAGCGUUGUCCGGAUUUAUUUGGCGUAAAGAGCGUGUAGGCGGCCAGGUAGGUCCGUUGUGAAAACUCGAGGCUCAACCUCGAGACGUCGGCGGAAACCCUCUGGCUAGAGUCCGGAAGAGGAGAGUGGAAUUCCUGGUGUAGCGGUGAAAUGCGCAGAUAUCAGGAAGAACACCCGUGGCGAAGGCGGCUCUCUGGGACGGUACUGACGCUGAGGAGCGAAAGCGUGGGGAGCGAACAGG